AGGGGCGUAGCUCAGGGGUAUAUCAUCUGCCUUGCAUGCAGAAAGUCCCAGUUUCAAUUCUUGGCAUCUCUG
This is a non-coding RNA of Podarcis lilfordi (Lilford's wall lizard), 72 nucleotides long. NCBI's taxonomy places the organism in Eukaryota, Metazoa, Chordata, Lepidosauria, Squamata, Lacertidae. The record is from the annotation of a GenBank genome assembly.